Dreissena polymorpha is the source of this 305-nucleotide long non-coding RNA. RefSeq lists it as uncharacterized. NCBI's taxonomy places the organism in Eukaryota, Metazoa, Mollusca, Bivalvia, Myida, Dreissenidae. The record is from RefSeq and is a predicted model, not a curated record. The transcript has 2 exons.
GCAGCAGCAACAACCACCCCAGUAACAACAACCGCAGCAAAAACAAAUCCAGCAACAACAACCAGAUCCUCAACCAGAUUGUCAAGACCUACCUGUCAACAGGACAUAAUUAUGGCCCAGCUGCUAUUAGACAUCACUGGCAUAACAGAUGCCAGUAAGGCUGCAAAGAAGUUGUUCCGCCGCCUGUACAGGGAGGAGUGAAAUAAAACGAAGGACUGUGAAACACUAGAGUACUUGAAAUAUUCUGUUUUGUUAAGAGUGUAUAUAUCCAUUGUCUACUUCAAAUAAUAAAUUGUUAUACAUUA